UGGGGAAUCUUGCACAAUGGGCGAAAGCCUGAUGCAGCGACGCCGCGUGGGGGAUGAAGGCCUUAGGGUCGUAAACCCCUUUCAGCAGGGACGAAAAUGACGGUACCUGCAGAAGAAGCCCCGGCCAACUACGUGCCAGCAGCCGCGGUAAGACGUAGGGGGCGAGCGUUGUCCGGAUUUAUUGGGCGUAAAGAGCUCGUAGGCGGUUGCGUAAGUCGGAUGUGAAAACUCAGGGCUCAACCCUGAGACGCCAUCCGAUACUGCGCUGACUUGAAUCCAGUAGGGGAGUGUGGAAUUCCUGGUGUAGCGGUGAAAUGCGCAGAUAUCAGGAGGAACACCCAUGGCGAAGGCAGCACUCUGGGCUGGUAUUGACGCUGAGGAGCGAAAGCAUGGGUAGCGAACAGGAUUAGAUACCCCUGUAGUCCCUGAGCGGGCUGGCAAGGCGCAU
Molecule: ribosomal RNA, 448 nt
Filed under: uncultured bacterium
Lineage: Bacteria
Description: bacterial SSU rRNA
Rfam family: Bacterial small subunit ribosomal RNA
Source: RNAcentral